CCUACGGGUGGCAGCAGUGGGGAAUAUUGGGCAAUGGAGGAAACUCUGACCCAGCAAUGCCGCGUGAAUGAAGAAGGUCUUCGGAUUGUAAAGUUCUUUAGUCAGGGAAGAAGUCAAUGACGGUACCUGAAGAAUAAGCUCCGGCUAACUACGUGCCAGCAGCCGCGGUAAGUCGAAGGGAGCAAGCGUUGUUCGGAAUGACUGGGCGUCAAGGGUACGUAGGCGGUUGUACAAGUUAGAAGUGAAAUACCCAGGGCUUAACUCGGUGGCUGCUUCUAAAACUGUAUGACGUGAGUGCAGUAGAGGUUAGUGGAAUUCCUAGUGUAGCGGUGGAAUGCGUAGAUAUUAGGAGGAACACCAGAGGCGAAGGCGGCUAACUGGACUGCAACUGACGCUGAGGCACGAAAGUGUGGGGAGCAAACAGGAUUAGAUACCCCAGUAGUC
This 444-nucleotide ribosomal RNA is filed under the name uncultured bacterium. RNAcentral describes it as "partial 16S ribosomal RNA". It matches the Rfam family "Bacterial small subunit ribosomal RNA", at positions 338 to 795 of the family's 1533-position model. The record is from RNAcentral.